Molecule: ribosomal RNA, 364 nt
Filed under: uncultured bacterium
Lineage: Bacteria
Description: partial 16S ribosomal RNA
Rfam family: Bacterial small subunit ribosomal RNA
Source: RNAcentral
CCUACGGGUGGCAGCAGUGAGGAAUAUUGGUCAAUGGACGAGAGUCUGAACCAGCCAAGUAGCGUGAAGGAUGACUGCCCGAUGGGGUGUAAACUUCUUGUAUAGGGGAAUAAAAUGUGCCACGUGUGGGAUUUUGUAUGUACCAUAUGAAUAAGGAUCGGCUAACUCCGUGCCAGCAGCCGCGGUAAUACGGAGGAUCCGAGCGUUAUGCGGAUUUAUUGGGUUUCAAGGGAGCGUAGGUGGAUUGUUAAGUCCGUUGUGAAAGUUUGCGGCGCAACCGGAAAAUUGCAGUUGACACUGGCAGUCUUGAGUACAGUCGAGGUGGGCGGAAUUCGUUGUGUAGCGGUGACAUGCUUAGAUCUCA